This 508-nucleotide ribosomal RNA is filed under the name uncultured bacterium. Its description in RNAcentral is "bacterial SSU rRNA". It matches the Rfam family "Bacterial small subunit ribosomal RNA", at positions 8 to 521 of the family's 1533-position model. The record is from RNAcentral.
AGAGUUUGAUCCUGGCUCAGGACGAACGCUGGCGGCGUGCUUAACACAUGCAAGUCGAACGGAGAUAAAAGAGGAGUUUACUUUUCUUUUACCUAAGUGGCGGACGGGUGAGUAACGCGUGGAUAAUCUGCCUAAUAGCCUGGGAUAACGCCGGGAAACUGGUGCUAAUACCGGAUACGCUCCUUGCACUGCAUAGAAUGAGGAGGAAAGGGGAAACCCGCUGAUAGAUGAGUCCGCGUCCCAUUAGCUAGUUGGAGGGGUAACGGCCCCCAAGGCGACGAUGGGUAGCCGGCCUGAGAGGGCGACCGGCCACACUGGAACUGAGACACGGUCCAGACUCCUACGGGAGGCAGCAGUGGGGAAUCUUCCGCAAUGGGCGCAAGCCUGACGGAGCAACGCCGCGUGAGUGAAGAAGGUUUUCGGAUCGUAAAACUCUGUCCGGGGGGAAGAAGCAAAUGACGGUACCCCUGGAGGAAGCCCCGGCUAACUACGUGCCAGCCGCCGCGGU